GAUGAACGCUAGCGGCAGGCUUAACACAUGCAAGUCGAGGGGUAUUGUAGCAAUACAAGAGACCGGCGCACGGGUGCGUAACGCGUAUGCAACCUACCUUUUACAGGGGGAUAGCCCAGAGAAAUUUGGAUUAAUACCCCAUGGUGUAUUUGAGUGGCAUCACUUAAUUACUAAAGUUCCAACGGUAAAAGAUGGGCAUG
Molecule: ribosomal RNA, 200 nt
Filed under: uncultured bacterium
Lineage: Bacteria
Description: partial 16S ribosomal RNA
Rfam family: Bacterial small subunit ribosomal RNA
Source: RNAcentral